This 111-nucleotide small nuclear RNA is filed under the name Sus scrofa (pig). The record is from RNAcentral. Lineage: Eukaryota; Metazoa; Chordata; Mammalia; Artiodactyla; Suidae. RNAcentral also lists the same sequence under 1 other name.
GUGCUCACUUUUAGCAUAGAUACUAAAAUUGGAAUGAUACAGAGAAGAUUGGCAUGGCACCUAUGUAAUAAUGAUAUAAACAUUGUUUAAACAUUGAUAUAAACAAUGUUU